GAUGAAGAACGUAGCGAAAUGCGAUAAGUAAUGUGAAUUGCAGAAUUCAGUGAAUCAUCGAAUCUUUGAACGCACAUUGCGCCCCCUGGUAUUCCGGGGGGCAUGCCUGUCCGAGCGUCAUUACAACCCUCAAGCUCAGCUUGGUGUUGGGCCCCGCCGCCCCGGCGGGCCCUAAAGUCAGUGGCGGUGCCGUCCGGCUCCGAGCGUAGUAAUUCUUCUCGCUCUGGAGGUCCGGUCGUGUGCUCGCCAGCAACCCCCAAUUUUUUUCGGGUUGACCUCGGAUCAGGUAGGGAUACCCGCUGAACUUAAGCAUAUCAAUAAGCGGAGGA
Molecule: unclassified non-coding RNA, 329 nt
Filed under: soil metagenome
Description: partial contains 5.8S ribosomal RNA, internal transcribed spacer 2, and large subunit ribosomal RNA
Rfam family: 5.8S ribosomal RNA (bases 1-120)
Source: RNAcentral